This 346-nucleotide ribosomal RNA is filed under the name uncultured bacterium. RNAcentral's name for it is "bacterial SSU rRNA". It matches the Rfam family "Bacterial small subunit ribosomal RNA", at positions 1 to 334 of the family's 1533-position model. The record is from RNAcentral.
CUAGCGACUUCAGAGUUUGAUCCUGGCUCAGGAUGAACGCUGGCGGCGUGCCUAACACAUGCAAGUCGAACGGGGUUAAGGGAAGUUUUCGGAUGGAACUUAACUUAGUGGCGGACGGGUGAGUAACGCGUGGAUAACCUGCCUCGCACUGGGGGAUAGCAGCUGGAAACGGCUGGUAAUACCGCAUAAGACCACGGUGCCGCAUGGCACUGGGGUAGAAGAUUUAUCGGUGCGAGAUGGAUCCGCGUCUGAUUAGCCAGUUGGCGGGGUAACGGCCCACCAAAGCGACGAUCAGUAGCCGGCCUGAGAGGGUGAACGGCCACAUUGGGACUGAGACACGGCCCAA